GUUGGCUUAGCUCAGUAGGUAGAGCAACUGACUUGUAAUCAGCCGGUCACCGGUUCUACUCCGGUAGCCAGUAUCA
Molecule: transfer RNA, 76 nt
Filed under: Aeromonas sp. CA23
Lineage: Bacteria; Pseudomonadati; Pseudomonadota; Gammaproteobacteria; Aeromonadales; Aeromonadaceae
Description: tRNA-Thr
Rfam family: tRNA
About the family: Transfer RNA (tRNA) molecules are approximately 80 nucleotides in length. Their secondary structure includes four short double-helical elements and three loops (D, anti-codon, and T loops). Further hydrogen bonds mediate the characteristic L-shaped molecular structure. tRNAs have two regions of fundamental functional importance: the anti-codon, which is responsible for specific mRNA codon recognition, and the 3' end, to which the tRNAs corresponding amino acid is attached (by aminoacyl-tRNA synthetases). tRNAs cope with the degeneracy of the genetic code in two manners: having more than one tRNA (with a specific anti-codon) for a particular amino acid; and 'wobble' base-pairing, i.e. permitting non-standard base-pairing at the 3rd anti-codon position.
Source: RNAcentral